RNAcentral lists this long non-coding RNA (980 nucleotides) under Gossypium raimondii (Peruvian cotton). Its description in RNAcentral is "long non-coding RNA (GRAI_LNC011155)". The record is from RNAcentral. Lineage: Eukaryota; Viridiplantae; Streptophyta; Magnoliopsida; Malvales; Malvaceae.
UUAAUCAAUGUGUCAAAAUGACAAAUGCUCAGCUCUGAUAUGCUUGUUGUUCCCUGGAUGGUGACCGAAGAUGAAAUUGCACCUACAAAUGGGUGCUAUUUGUUUUAUGGACGUAGCUUGGAAGGUAGUUAUGGGGAAACAAAUGAUUACCAUUUUUAGGAAAUUAAAGACUUAUCGUGGAUGAGUCAGGAUUGAGUUCGCGGCAUUGGGUGUGCAAAAAAUUGUUUUAACCAAUUAAACUGAUCUGAUUCGGAUUUUGGAUUUUUUAAAUUAAUAAAUAAUUUUACAUUGACUCAAAAUUUUAAAUAUAAACUCGACUCAACGUCUCAACCCAAAUAUGGUAAAUUAACAAUUGAUUUGAUUUUAAAAUAAUUUAUAUUACAUAUAUAAUUUAAUAAAAAGGCCUAAAAAGUAAAAACAAAACAUCCCAAUAUAAUCCGUAAUUUCCCAAACCCGGUAACUUUCUACUGUCGACAGCCCGGCACACCCACCAUCGUACUUCAUCAGAUCAAUAAUCUCUUCGUCCUCCACAGCUUCACUCUUAUCGUCUUUCACGCCCUAAACCAACGCACCUUCGGCUUCAAGCUUUAGCUCUCUUUCGCCCUACUGUCGACGCAUGCGCAUCUGAGAUUCUCACAAAGGUAACAUGCAAGUGAACAGUAUAUAUGUCAGGAUCUUUGUUAUCGACUAGUAUUAGUUCUUUGCUGUAGUGGCUUUGGGUUAAUGGUUUUAUGAAUCAAAAUGGGGACCUUUUUGUAGUGUUUGUGAAGAUUGAAGAGGAUUUCAAAUAAGAGAAUGGAAGUGUGUUGAUAAGAAUAAGAAAUAAAUGAAGUAAUAGAGAAUCUUUGAUGGAACUGUUUCUCAGCAUGUUUUAUUCUUAAAUUAAAUGUCUUCCUAGAUCAUAUGGUGAAUUUUAGUUUGAACUUUUUCACCAAUGUUCCAGGCAAUGUAACCUCAUUAGUAUGAGUUUUUGACUGUUC